AAUAGAUACCUGGUAGUCCACGCCGUAAACGAUGAGUGCUAAGUGUUAGAGGGUUUCCGCCCUUUAGUGCUGCAGCUAACGCAUUAAGCACUCCGCCUGGGGAGUACGGCCGCAAGGCUGAAACUCAAAGGAAUUGACGGGGGCCCGCACAAGCGGUGGAGCAUGUGGUUUAAUUCGAAGCAACGCGAAGAACCUUACCAGGUCUUGACAUCCUCUGCCAACCCUAGAGAUAGGGCGUUCCCCUUCGGGGGACAGAGUGACAGGUGGUGCAUGGUUGUCGUCAGCUCGUGUCGUGAGAUGUUGGGUUAAGUCCCGCAACGAGCGCAACCCUUGAUCUUAGUUGCCAGCAUUCAGUUGGGCACUCUAAGGUGACUGCCGGUGACAAACCGGAGGAAGGUGGGGAUGACGUCAAAUCAUCAUGCCCCUUAUGACCUGGGCUACACACGUGCUACAAUGGAUGGUACAAAGAGCUGCGAACCCGCGAGGGUAAGCGAAUCUCAUAAAGCCAUUCUCAGUUCGGAUUGU
This 525-nucleotide ribosomal RNA is filed under the name uncultured bacterium. RNAcentral describes it as "bacterial SSU rRNA". It matches the Rfam family "Bacterial small subunit ribosomal RNA", at positions 777 to 1301 of the family's 1533-position model. The record is from RNAcentral.